GGACAAACCCUAACCUGGCUGGGGGUCUUCUUUGCCCCACUUCUUCCUGUGGUCCAAAUCCUCAAAUUACUGCUCUUGUUCUAUGUUAAGAAGGUCAGCUUGAUGAGAAAUUGUCAGUGUCCCAGUAAACCCUGGCGUGCAUCUCAUAUGAGCACCAUCUUCAUCUCUUUGUUGUGCUUCCCUUCAUUCCUGGGUGCCUCCAUAUUCCUCUCCUAUACCAUCUGGGC
Long non-coding RNA from Protobothrops mucrosquamatus (brown spotted pit viper), 227 nucleotides. RefSeq lists it as uncharacterized. The transcript is spliced from 3 exons. Lineage: Eukaryota; Metazoa; Chordata; Lepidosauria; Squamata; Viperidae. The record is from RefSeq and is a predicted model, not a curated record.